UACGAAGGGGGCUAGCGUUGCUCGGAAUCACUGGGCGUAAAGGGUGCGUAGGCGGGUCUUUAAGUCAGGGGUGAAAUCCUGGAGCUCAACUCCAGAACUGCCUUUGAUACUGAGGAUCUUGAGUUCGGGAGAGGUGAGUGGAACUGCGAGUGUAGAGGUGAAAUUCGUAGAUAUUCGCAAGAACACCAGUGGCGAAGGCGGCUCACUGGCUCGUAACUGACGCUCAUGCACGACAGCGUGGGGAUCAAACAGG
RNAcentral lists this ribosomal RNA (253 nucleotides) under uncultured bacterium. Its description in RNAcentral is "partial 16S ribosomal RNA". It matches the Rfam family "Bacterial small subunit ribosomal RNA", at positions 524 to 776 of the family's 1533-position model. The record is from RNAcentral.